RNAcentral lists this ribosomal RNA (300 nucleotides) under uncultured bacterium. RNAcentral describes it as "bacterial SSU rRNA". It matches the Rfam family "Bacterial small subunit ribosomal RNA", at positions 775 to 1067 of the family's 1533-position model. The record is from RNAcentral.
GGAUUAGAUACCCUGGUAGUCCUAGCUGUAAACGAUGGAUACUAGACGUAGGAACUGGAUUGACGGUUUCUGUGUCGCAGCUAACGCAUUAAGCACACCGCCUGGGGAGUACGACCGCAAGGUUAAAACUCAAAUGAAUUGACGGGGACCCGCACAAGCAGUGGAGCAUGUGGUUUAAUUCGAAGAUACGCGCAGAACCUUACCAACGCUUGACAUGUUCGUCGCGAGACUAAGAGAUUAAAGUUUUCGGUUCGGCCGGACGAAACACAGGUGCUGCAUGGCUGUCGUCAGCUCGUGCCG